Molecule: long non-coding RNA, 141 nt
Filed under: Chinchilla lanigera (long-tailed chinchilla)
Lineage: Eukaryota; Metazoa; Chordata; Mammalia; Rodentia; Chinchillidae
Description: T-cell leukemia/lymphoma 6 conserved region 3 (ENSCLAG00000019675.1)
Rfam family: T-cell leukemia/lymphoma 6 conserved region 3
Source: RNAcentral
GGGAGACGGUGGAUUUACAUCCCACACACAUCCCACCAGGCACGAGCAGCUUCCACUGCACAAUCUAGUCACGGACUUUUUUCUUUUCUCCCCCUCCUUCUCAGUGUUGGUCAGAAUAGAAGCUGGGAGGAGAGAGGGAGG